AAAAAAAAAAAAAACACUAGAAUGAAAAGAACUUGGGUGUUCUUCUGUACCAGUGACAUUUGAGUUAAGAUUUGGUGUU
RNAcentral lists this small nucleolar RNA (79 nucleotides) under Otolemur garnettii (small-eared galago). RNAcentral's name for it is "Small nucleolar RNA SNORA81 (ENSOGAG00000023796.1)". Lineage: Eukaryota; Metazoa; Chordata; Mammalia; Primates; Galagidae. The record is from RNAcentral.